Molecule: ribosomal RNA, 1553 nt
Filed under: Salmonella enterica subsp. enterica serovar Schwarzengrund
Lineage: Bacteria; Pseudomonadati; Pseudomonadota; Gammaproteobacteria; Enterobacterales; Enterobacteriaceae
Description: bacterial SSU rRNA
Rfam family: Bacterial small subunit ribosomal RNA
Source: RNAcentral
AAAUUGAAGAGUUUGAUCAUGGCUCAGAUUGAACGCUGGCGGAAGGCCUAACACAUGCAAGUCGAACGGUAACAGGAAGCAGCUUGCUGCUUUGCUGACGAGUGGCGGACGGGUGAGUAAUGUCUGGGAAACUGCCUGAUGGAGGGGGAUAACUACUGGAAACGGUGGCUAAUACCGCAUAACGUCGCAAGACCAAAGAGGGGGACCUUCGGGCCUCUUGCCAUCAGAUGUGCCCAGAUGGGAUUAGCUUGUUGGUGAGGUAACGGCUCACCAAGGCGACGAUCCCUAGCUGGUCUGAGAGGAUGACCAGCCACACUGGAACUGAGACACGGUCCAGACUCCUACGGGAGGCAGCAGUGGGGAAUAUUGCACAAUGGGCGCAAGCCUGAUGCAGCCAUGCCGCGUGUAUGAAGAAGGCCUUCGGGUUGUAAAGUACUUUCAGCGGGGAGGAAGGUGUUGUGGUUAAUAACCGCAGCAAUUGACGUUACCCGCAGAAGAAGCACCGGCUAACUCCGUGCCAGCAGCCGCGGUAAUACGGAGGGUGCAAGCGUUAAUCGGAAUUACUGGGCGUAAAGCGCACGCAGGCGGUCUGUCAAGUCGGAUGUGAAAUCCCCGGGCUCAACCUGGGAACUGCAUUCGAAACUGGCAGGCUUGAGUCUUGUAGAGGGGGGUAGAAUUCCAGGUGUAGCGGUGAAAUGCGUAGAGAUCUGGAGGAAUACCGGUGGCGAAGGCGGCCCCCUGGACAAAGACUGACGCUCAGGUGCGAAAGCGUGGGGAGCAAACAGGAUUAGAUACCCUGGUAGUCCACGCCGUAAACGAUGUCUACUUGGAGGUUGUGCCCUUGAGGCGUGGCUUCCGGAGCUAACGCGUUAAGUAGACCGCCUGGGGAGUACGGCCGCAAGGUUAAAACUCAAAUGAAUUGACGGGGGCCCGCACAAGCGGUGGAGCAUGUGGUUUAAUUCGAUGCAACGCGAAGAACCUUACCUGGUCUUGACAUCCACGGAAGUUUUCAGAGAUGGAUUGUGCCUUCGGGAACCGUGAGACAGGUGCUGCAUGGCUGUCGUCAGCUCGUGUUGUGAAAUGUUGGGUUAAGUCCCGCAACGAGCGCAACCCUUAUCCUUUGUUGCCAGCGGUCCGGCCGGGAACUCAAAGGAGACUGCCAGUGAUAAACUGGAGGAAGGUGGGGAUGACGUCAAGUCAUCAUGGCCCUUACGACCAGGGCUACACACGUGCUACAAUGGCGCAUACAAAGAGAAGCGACCUCGCGAGAGCAAGCGGACCUCAUAAAGUGCGUCGUAGUCCGGAUUGGAGUCUGCAACUCGACUCCAUGAAGUCGGAAUCGCUAGUAAUCGUGGAUCAGAAUGCCACGGUGAAUACGUUCCCGGGCCUUGUACACACCGCCCGUCACACCAUGGGAGUGGGUUGCAAAAGAAGUAGGUAGCUUAACCUUCGGGAGGGCGCUUACCACUUUGUGAUUCAUGACUGGGGUGAAGUCGUAACAAGGUAACCGUAGGGGAACCUGCGGUUGGAUCACCUCCUUACCUUAAAGAAGC